CCUACGGGAGGCAGCAGUGGGGAAUAUUGGACAAUGGGCGAAAGCCUGAUCCAGCCAUGCCGCGUGUGUGAAGAAGGUCUUCGGAUUGUAAAGCACUUUAAGUUGGGAGGAAGGGCAGUAAGUUAAUACCUUGCUGUUUUGACGUUACCAACAGAAUAAGCACCGGCUAACUUCGUGCCAGCAGCCGCGGUAAUACGAAGGGUGCAAGCGUUAAUCGGAAUUACUGGGCGUAAAGCGCGCGUAGGUGGUUCAGCAAGUUGGAUGUGAAAUCCCCGGGCUCAACCUGGGAACUGCAUCCAAAACUACUGAGCUAGAGUACGGUAGAGGGUGGUGGAAUUUCCUGUGUAGCGGUGAAAUGCGUAGAUAUAGGAAGGAACACCAGUGGCGAAGGCGACCACCUGGACUGAUACUGACAUUGAGGGCGAAAAG
RNAcentral lists this ribosomal RNA (429 nucleotides) under uncultured Pseudomonas sp. Its description in RNAcentral is "bacterial SSU rRNA". It matches the Rfam family "Bacterial small subunit ribosomal RNA", at positions 338 to 760 of the family's 1533-position model. The record is from RNAcentral. Lineage: Bacteria; Pseudomonadati; Pseudomonadota; Gammaproteobacteria; Pseudomonadales; Pseudomonadaceae.